UAGGGAAUCUUCCGCAAUGGACGCAAGUCUGACGGAGCAACGCCGCGUGAGUGAAGAAGGAUUUCGGUUCGUAAAACUCUGUUGUUAGAGAAGAACAGCGCAUAGAGUAACUGUUAUGCGUGUGACGGUAUCUAACCAGAAAGCCACGGCUAACUACGUGCCAGCAGCCGCGGUAAUACGUAGGUGGCAAGCUUUGUCCGGAUUUAUUGGGCGUAAAGCGAGCGCAGGCGGUCAAUUAAGUCUGAUGUGAAAGCCCCCGGCUCAACCGGGUGAGGUCAUUGGAGGCUGGUUGACUUGAGUGCAGAAGAGGGGAGUGGAAUUCCAUGUGUAGCGGUGAAAUGCGUAGAUAUAUGGGGGAACACCAGUGGCGAAGGCGACUCUCUGGUCUGUAACUGACGCUGAGGUUCGAAAGCGUGGGUAGCAAACAGG
Molecule: ribosomal RNA, 429 nt
Filed under: Bacteroidota bacterium
Lineage: Bacteria; Pseudomonadati; Bacteroidota
Description: Bacteroidetes bacterium partial 16S ribosomal RNA
Rfam family: Bacterial small subunit ribosomal RNA
Source: RNAcentral